UAUAUAUAUAUAUAUAUAUAUACAUACACAUCUUUUUUAUUUAUAUAUUAUUUCUUAUUGAAAAAUUAAAGAGAAUUUUAAUAAAUCCUUAGAAUUAUUGAAACAAGUAAAUAUGUUAUAAUUGGUAAUUGUUUGCAUCAAUUGCGAUUCGAAACCAUCACUAGUCGGGGGUGUUCGAUGACCAUGGGAGCAGUGGCGUCGGCGGGACAAGACGGGAGAUCGAGGAGGGGCACGACCAUUGUUGAACGUCCGGCGGCGCCAGCCACUAGCCAUCACGACUACUACCACCAGUACGACACCGUUACCACCACCAUCAUCGUCAUCAUAGAUGAGAACGGACAACCACCAUCGUCGAGGUGUGCUUAGCGUACAGACUGCGCACACUGUCCUCCCCCUCCUCCUCCUCGUCGUUCCAUCUCCUUCACCUCCCUGAUCUCUGCCACCACCAACCUGUACAGCAUGAUUCCGGCUAUGGUUUUACGUAUGCCUGACUCCUACCUUCUUGCUUAGCUCGCGUGAUUAUGCUCGCGACUCCGUGACUUCGGCUACGGAGUCUCGUUACCGCUUGCCAAGACAAGAACUCGACGCGAUGCGCGGCGCUACGAGUUGAAGAGGAAGAAUCAUGGUCAGAAUAUAGCGGACAACAAUAAGAAUCUUUAAAAUGCAAGUCUUAACGCAAAGCCCGGUACAACGUGUCUCUUCCCUUAAGCACGAACGUUGUUGGAACGUGCUCGAGCUGAAAAUAUGUACAUAAGAAAAUAUCUUUUCUUCGAAUGACGCGUUGGAACGCGUCUACGUUUAAGUCUCAUCAAUGCGUAGGACAAAUCGUUAGUUUCGAAUAACCAUUUAUAUGAUUGCUCCGCACACGAGGAAAGUAUGGGAGUGCCCCUCGAAAAUUAUUCCGUGGAGUGUAUCUUGGCAUCCGAUGAUUGUGCGCCAGAGGCUAGAGUGGUCUCUCGGAGUGCACGUGCGCGUUGCACGUGUUAGCUGUGGGGCGACCCUCCCGAUUCCUGACUGCCUACAGACUGUAACAUCGUAUCAGGGCCACGUCGUGGCUAUAACUAUAUAUACAGCCACUCUGCUUCAUCACGAAUUUUCUCUCUCUAUUUUUCUCUCUUUCUCUCCUCUCUCUCUCUCUCUCUCUCUCUCUAUCUCUUUCUGUCUGUCUCUCUCUCUCUCUCUCUCUCUCUCUCUCGCUCUAUUCAUUGCGAGGGAAUAACACGACGUUAAUUGUAAACGUGCAGGGCUUCUCAAUUGCUAUCAUCCUCAUUUUCAUCGUUCACGCGAGAAAUUUCUUCUUUAUCAUCGUGUUGGCCUCGAGGCGAUAACUUGAUAAAAAGGAAUGAGAAUGAAACGAAAACCUGGGAGACAAGAAUCAGUGCCCAAACUAACGUGAAGAUUCGCUAUUUGCGCAGCUGUUCAAACGGGCCGCGCCGCGAAAAUACUACCUCGUCAUCCGUUUUUAAAAUAUCCAAGUCCUCGAGCGUGCCAUGGCAAACGCUCGAACGUACGCGUUAGGUUAGAGGUACAUACGAUACGAAUCGUCAUUAACGCAACUAGAUACGCAUCUUGACCCCUUUCCGAGAUACUUGUGCUUCAUCUAGGACUCAACUCACAAUCUAGAACAAAUUAUGUUAGAGGCAAGCUUGGAAAUAGAAAUUUCUUUAUUCUUUGCGUGCCCUAGUACUUUUGUUUCACUAUUUGCCGUAAAGUAAAAAAGAAUCUGCUUUUUUUUAUUUUUUUUAUCGUAUUCGAAAUUAGACAUGCAACGUAUCCUGUUUAUUCGAAUAAUAAUAUAAAACCUUGGAUAUUGUUCUUACCUAUGCUGCUGUUUCAAGAUUCUUUCUUUUAUUCAAGAUUUUUCGUUUCAGCGUAACCUACGUCCAAGCGUAAACUACGUUUUAUUUCUUCAACGAGACUACCCGAUGUAGAAGUAUUAUCGUAAAGCAUUGUCAUUGGCACGGAUCACCUUGCAUAGCACUCUCCGACGGAGUGCUUCCUGACGGACCCUCCGCAGGAGGACCGACGGCCCCCGAGAAAGCAAGCGAGGGGGCAGCAAGCGAGUAUGCAAGAGAGUAGGGCUGAUGUUACGUACGAUCGGAGGCGUGCAGGUGUCCGUUCGUUCGUCCGUCCGUCCGUCUAUUCGUCCGUUCAUCGAUGCUACGCUGAGAUCUAAGCCAACACCGUCCAGUCUCGUAGCGAAGGCUACAAACGAUCACCUGUUUAGCCAAUCAAGACACCUGUUCCCUCUCGUAUUCUCUAUGAUUUUUUUCCCAUUCAUUUUUGCAAAAUCAUCGUCUAAAAUAAUCCCGUCGCGAAUUAUAAUUUUUAAAUUCAAAACCUCAUAUAUCGUCAUAUUAUACAUUCCAUGGAUUAUGAUUUUAGCAACGAUUCGUUUUUCCUUCAGACUUUGCUAUUAUUCGAAAAUCGAAUGAAAGAGACCAAAAUAAUUUGGCGUUCUUUAUUAUGUCCUUCAUCUAAAAUUUGUUUUAUAUUAAAAGGAUUGAGAUAACAGAAGUAUGAGGAGAAAAGAAUUGCACAGUUAAGACGGUAAAAGGGGUGGGGUGAGAGAGACACGAGACACCACGAUAAUCUCGCCGGACGUGAGAGACUCGAGACUCAUUCAGUGACGUGGGAACGCGUGCAGAUACCAUUCAUAAGUCGGACCGUACGAGCGAGUACCGGAGAACUCACGAGCGUGUAUAAGCGAUCGUGCGCCCGUACGAACGCGUUCCGUUGUUGAAAGGGUCGAUCGCCUGUCUCGGUUUAUUGUACGAAGUUACCGAAGCGAUACCGAAGGGUCAUGUCGAUGAUGGAUCUCAUCAUGCGCCUCCAACUUUCUUUUUCCAAUACGAUAAUAAUCUAUUAAAUAUAUAUUUCCCAUUAAGUCGGACCUUUUAAAUAAGGAAAAUAAUAAUAUUUUCUUUCAUGAAAUUUCGAUGAAGUGAAUGAUUCAAAAUAAAUACCCAUUGUUAUAAACGUAUAUAGUUCAUUUGUUUGCCUUCAAUGUUGGAUCAUAGCCAUCGCUAGAGCAAAGCGAGAGAGCCACCGAGAGAACCCGCAGCCUUUCCUUCGCGGCUCUCCUCUCUCUCUCUCUCUCUCUCUUUCUCUCUCUCUCUUUCUCUCUCUUUUUCUCGCCAACGAGCGUCGUGGGAUUCGUGGGAGCCUGUUUUCCGUUCUUGCCUCGUUCCAUCGCGAACACGGACCCCAUGUCGUUGUUUUGUGUUGUACGACCACGGAGCUGAGCUCGAAUUUCUGCCAAGAUCGGAGAACGAGUGCCCCCGGGCGACAUCGUCUUUGGACCCUCUCAGAGAAAAAGGGAUUGAAGGAGACUCGCGAGAAUUGCCGAAAUCGUUUCAGCCGAUCGUAGUUCUUUCGCUUUAGUCGUUCACUUCGAAGUUAGGUCCGUGCGAAAAUCGAUAAGAGAAACAGAGAAAAAUAGAUAGAGAGAUAGAGAGAGAAAGAGAGAGAGAGAAAGAGAGGAAGAGAUAGAGAUAGGGAGAAAGAUAUAAGAAGAACGUGGACUAUAUUAACUGUUUUAGAGAGACUAAAAACGAUAGAGAAUGUAUUCUUUGUGCUAAAGAUUCGUUAUUACAUUAUAUGUAACAUUGUUAUAUCAUCUUAAACAUAUAUAUAUAUAUUCGAGGGUAGCUAUGAUCGCAUCUGCACUCGGUAGGGUUCUAGGAACCCUAGCUUUUUUAGGGCUGAGAUCCCUGAGAAAAGCAUAGUAUUCGUCCAGGUGUCGUGAAUAACAGCACCUGGAGGUACUUCUGUUUACCGUUACUUUCGUUUGCGCUCGUUAAAACAUUUCCAAGCUUUCCGUCGAGAAAAGACAAAGCGUUCUUCUUGUUGGCCUCGAUUACUUAUAAACAGUAUUAUAUAUCGAUUGUGAUAAUAUCAUUGGAAUAUGAAUUUCCGAUGAAUUCUUAGAUAAUUUAUGUGUCCGUCUGAAGGGAAAAAAAUUUCGAAAGAAAAUUUUUCCUUUACGAAAGAAAAUGAAAUCUGUGGAUUCUUGACAGACGAUUAGAAGAAAAAAGAAAAAAAAAGGAAAAAAAAAAAUAUGUACACAUAAAAAGAUAUCUUUCGAUUAUAUUAUCGACUUUUUCCGCUGGAUUAACCAAUGAUAAAAGAACACUUGGGUUUGUAAACUUUAUUGCAUUUCCUCUUGAUGAAAGAGAGGGGAGAUAUGGGAAAUACGAUCGGGCCUUUGGGGUCGAGGUCAUCGGGAAAACUCGAGAAUCUGUGCAGGUGUCGGGUGAAUUACGACAGCUGUUUCGUUCCCUUCUUAAUUCUCUUUCUCUCCCUUUCUGCUUGAAGAAACCGAGGUUUUCCAUUUGUAAUUAAUGAAAUUCUUUAAAAGACACCUGUGCGGUAGAGAUGGUCACACAGGUGGCAUUCGACUGUACAACGAUAAAGCCGAGCUCUCGUACAGGUGUACGAGGCAGGUACUCGAGCACUCUGAAUCGGGUACUCGCAUUGGUGAAACGGUACGUUGGUGAAAUCACCGGCUAGGAUGUUUACGACCGUUUUGGCGACCGAUCGCCAACGACGACUUAUCGGUUCGUUCGAGAUUACGUCCGACAACGAGAAAAACGUUUACGAACUCGGUAAAACGAUUUCGUUAAAUUGAGUCCUUUCGUUCGAGCAUUUUGUCAUGAAAUGAUACUUCCAUAAAAGACUCCAUGGGUUUGUCGAGUUUAAUACGUUGAUCUCUUUAUUCUUGAUAAUCUCUCGAAUUACAACGCCAAAGAUAAUUUUUUCCUCGUUAUUGUCCGUGUCGAUGGAGUUGCUGUCGUUAAUAAUAAUUAUCGAUCGUUAAAGAAUUCGAAAGUUUCAAGGAACGAUCGAUAAAGUUCUUUGCGAAUGUCUCCAUUGUUUUCUUCAUUGUUACCAGAUAAAGCAAACGAGUCGUUUCUUUACGGACUGACCUCCUCGAAGGACGACCCGUUUCACCGACCGAAAUGAGCGCUCGACUGUAAAAGAGCGGCCGUUGAGUCACGUCUCUUCUACCGGGACAAUUCGUUACGUUCCACCGGUUUCGAGGUGCGACUAACUUUAAGUUCUAUGAGAAGGUCCGUUCGACCUCCUACCGUGAGAUACGAAGGAAUCUUCUAUGAAAGGAUCCGUAUACACACCUGCUCGUCUUUUCAUAAUAACGUUAAAGAAGAACAAUCAAUUGAUUGAUCUAAGUAUUUCUUGAUUUAAACUAAUAGAAAUUGUACGAUGCGUAGUGACGAUUAGAUAAGACAUUUAUUGCGAAACAUUUUAUCUCGAGAAAUGAUUUCAAGGAUGUAUAUAGUUAGUUUGAUAUAAUAUAUAAUCAAUUUAUUAUAAGAUUAGAAAAUAACAUCUUUGAUCAUAUGGGUAUUAUGCAAACACUUAGAUGGGCCUAUGAGAUUUGGAAUCUGACACGUUUAUUUACAGAUAUCGUUUAUCGCGAUACGUCGAAGAUACAUACAUUUAAAGAUGUAGAGGUCUGUGUAUGUUUUUCUUUCUCACGCAUAAAUCCUGACGAGUUGGA
Long non-coding RNA from Vespa velutina, 5521 nucleotides. RefSeq lists it as uncharacterized. The record is from RefSeq and is a predicted model, not a curated record. The transcript has 4 exons. NCBI's taxonomy places the organism in Eukaryota, Metazoa, Arthropoda, Insecta, Hymenoptera, Vespidae.